AUAAGCGAAUAAGGGCUUAAGUUGGAUACCUUGGCAUUCAGAAGCGAUGAAGGGCGUGUCUACCGACGAAACGCUUCGGGGAGCUGGAAGUAAGCUUUGAUCCGGAGGUUCCCGAAUGAGGAAACUCUUUAAACUGCAUAUUUAAUACAUAGGUAUGUAAGAGCGAACCUGGUGAAUUGAAACAUCUCAGUAACCAGAGGAAAAGAAAGCAAAAGCGAUUCCCAUAGUAGCGGCGAGCGAAAAGGGAACAGCCUAAACUACUUCUUAAAAAGUAGGGUUGUGGGACAACCAUAAAUAGAUUCGAAAAGUUAGGCGAAGUCUUUGGAAUGAGACAUCAUAGAAGGUGAAAAUCCUGUAGUCGAAAACUUUGAAAACUAGUGUUGUAUCCCGAGUAGCAUGGGACACGUGAAACCCCGUGUGAAUCUGCGAGGACCACCUCGUAAGGCUAAAUAUUCCUGAAUGACCGAUAGUGAAACAGUACCGUGAGGGAAAGGUGAAAAGAACCCCGGAAGGGGAGUGAAAUAGAACAUGAAAGCUUAAGCUUACAAGCAGUGGGAGGACGACUAAACGUCUGACCUCGUACCUGUUGAAGAAUGAGCCGGCGACUUGUAGGUAGUGGCAGGUUAAGGUAGAAAAUACUGGAGCCACAGUGAAAGCGAGCCUGAAUAGGGCGACGGUCACUGCUUACAGACCCGAACCCGGAUGAUCUAACCAUGGCCAGUGUGAAGCUUAGGUAACACUAAGUGGAGGCACGAACCGACUGAUGUUGAAAAAUCAGCGGAUGAGUUGUGGUUAGGGGUGAAAUGCCAAUCGAAUCCGGAGCUAGCUGGUUCUCCCCGAAAUGCGUUUAGGCGCAGCGGUUAGUGCUAUAGCUUAGGGGUAAAGCACUGUUUCGGUGCGGGCUGCUAACGCGGUACCAAAUCGAUGCAAACUCUGAAUACUAAGUGUGUAACUAACCAGUAAGACUGUGGGGGAUAAGCUCCAUUGUCAAGAGGGAAACAGCCCAGACCACCAGCUAAGGCCCCUAAAUGAUUACUAAGUGAUAAAGGAUGUGGGAAUGCUGAGACAAUCAGGAGGUUCGCCUAGAAGCAGCUAUCCUUUAAAGAGUGCGUAAUAGCUCACUGAUCAAGCGCACCUGCGCCGAAAAUGAACGGGGCUAAGUAAUCUGCCGAAGCUGUGGGAUCUUUUAGAUCGGUAGGGGAGCGUUCCACAAUAGAUUGAAGCAUUAGCGUAAGCGGAUGUGGACGAAGUGGAAGUGAGAAUGUCGGCUUGAGUAGCGAAAACAUUGGUGAGAAUCCAAUGCCCCGAAAACCUAAGGUUUCCUCCGGAAGGCUCGUCCGCGGAGGGUGAGUCAGGACCUAAGGCGAGGCCGAAAGGCGUAGCUAAUGGACAACGGGUUAAUAUUCCCGUACCAUCUAUUGCUGAUAUCGAGGGACGGAGAAGGCUAGACCAGCCGGAUGUUGGUUACCGGUUUAAGCGUUAAAGGUGUUGAAGAGCGGCGAAAACGCUCUGAGCUAAGGCGUGAAUACGAAAUACCAAGGUAUUGAAGUGGUUGAUGUCAUACUUCCAAGAAAAGCUCGGAAUAUCAUAAGUUAUAGAUGCCUGUACCCGAAACCGACACAGGUAGGUAGGUAGAGCAUACCAAGGGGCGCGAGAUAACUCUCUCUAAGGAACUCGGCAAAAUUACCUCGUAACUUCGGAAAAAGAGGUACCCCUUUAGGGGGGUUGCAAUACAUUGACCCUGGCGACUGUUUACCAAAAACACAGGUCUCCGCUAAUUCGUAAGAAAAAGUAUGGGGGCUGACGCCUGCCCAGUGCCGGAAGGUUAAAGAAGUUGGUUAGUCUUCGGACGAAGCUAGCGACUGAAGCCCCGGUGAACGGCGGCCGUAACUAUAACGGUCCUAAGGUAGCGAAAUUCCUUGUCGGGUAAGUUCC
RNAcentral lists this ribosomal RNA (1935 nucleotides) under marine metagenome. RNAcentral describes it as "bacterial LSU rRNA". It matches the Rfam family "Bacterial large subunit ribosomal RNA", at positions 1 to 1984 of the family's 2925-position model. The record is from RNAcentral.